Molecule: ribosomal RNA, 253 nt
Filed under: uncultured bacterium
Lineage: Bacteria
Description: partial 16S ribosomal RNA
Rfam family: Bacterial small subunit ribosomal RNA
Source: RNAcentral
GACGAACCGUGCGAACGUUAUUCGGAAUCACUGGGCUUAAAGGGCGCGUAGGCGGCCUUGUAAGUCAGGGGUGAAAGACGGUAGCUUAACUAUCGCAGUGCCUUUGAUACUGCAGGGCUUGAAUGUACUUGAGGUAGGCGGAAUGUGACAAGUAGCGGUGAAAUGCAUAGAUAUGUCACAGAACACCAAUUGCGAAGGCAGCUUACUAAAGUAUGAUUGACGCUGAGGCACGAAAGCGUGGGGAUCAAACAGG